Molecule: long non-coding RNA, 1261 nt
Organism: Drosophila subpulchrella
Lineage: Eukaryota; Metazoa; Arthropoda; Insecta; Diptera; Drosophilidae
Exons: 2
Source: RefSeq, a predicted model, not a curated record
GAAGCUCAAGCUCGCUCCUCGGCGGUCCUUCGGCCUGGAAGGCCAGCUGACAGCUUCCAGCUUCCAGUGGCGGAGCAGCUGUCGCCGCGGGAAGGAGAGGGGGCGGAGCCGCAGGAGGCGUGGCGUGGUGCGUGAAUCCCGGGAACGCCGGCACCGGAACGGGGAACGCCGGCAACGAAACGGCGGAACGGCGAACGAGGAACGCCGAGCGGCCGACCCAGAGAGAGUCAGUCUUUGGCAGCCAGCAGCCGACAGCAGAUGCCGACGAGGAUGCAGAGAAACCGAAACCGAAACGGAAACCGAAACCGAAACCCAAAUCCAAAUCGAAAUCGAAACCAAAACCGAAAUCGAAAUCGAAAUAGAAACUAUCACUGAAACCGAAAUUGAAACUGAAACUGAAUCCGAACUGAACUGAACUGAGACUGGGAAAGUGCGCGGCUGUGUGUUCCAUUGCCAAAUCGUGGCCAAAUCGUUCCAGUGGCAGUGUGCAUCAACAAGGGGGCGGGCGCCGCGAAAGGGGGCGGGGCAGGACACCAAAAGCAAAGACGAACCCCAAAACGGCCGCGAGCAACAAAAAUAAAAUCGGAAAAGGCCCAGAAAUCCUGUCAAGGAAAACGUGCUGAAAAGCCCACAAAAUUCAAGAAAACAACCUACAUUUUUUACACAUUUUUUUAAGAAAACCAUUUUUUUUACUGUGUACGUGUGUGUGUGUGUGUGUAAAAAGACCAAUCAAAGGUAUAAGAAGAAAGGCGAAAAAAGUGCGGCAAAUGGAGAGAUUAAAACCGAGCGAUAAAGAUACAUAAAUCCAUGGGAUUUUGCGUGCGUGUGCUUAACCUUGACAUAUCAAACAAAACAACAAAAUUAGACCCGUGUGUAAAAGUAAUGCCAUUGUGUCUGCAGUGCGGAUUCUGCGAUGUUUGGCAUCGUUGAAAUUCCGCUGACAUGCCAUGCAUUUCGGCGAUAAAUCGAACAAGCGCAAAACACACAAUUUUAGAUAGCCAAAUAAACCAAAAAAAAAACCAAAAAUAACAAACAAAUUAAAUAAAACAAAAUAUAUUUAAAAGAAAAUAAGGGUAAAACAACAGAGAACACUUAAAAAAUAGCAUUAAACAAGUGGCCGCCAAAGAGAAAGUAGUGCAAGAAAGGAAAAUAUGUGACGUAAAAACCGGAAAGCAAUGUCAUCAGCCCUGUGCAAAGUGCAUUGCCUAAUUGCCAAACUAAGAACUAUUCUAAAAGCCAAAUAAAACUAGCAACUUGAAAA